CAGUAGCCGCGGGAAUACAGAGGGUGCGAGCGUUAAUCGGAUUUACUGGGCGUAAAGCGUGCGUAGGCGGCUUCUUAAGUCGGAUGUGAAAUCCCUGAGCUUAACUUAGGAAUUGCAUUCGAUACUGGGAAGCUAGAGUAUGGGAGAGGAUGGUAGAAUUCCAGGUGUAGCGGUGAAAUGCGUAGAGAUCUGGAGGAAUACCGAUGGCGAAGGCAGCCAUCUGGCCUAAUACUGACGCUGAGGUACGAAAGCAUGGGGAGCAAACAGGAUUAAAUACCCCGGUAGUCCCUGUCUCUUAUAC
Molecule: ribosomal RNA, 301 nt
Filed under: uncultured bacterium
Lineage: Bacteria
Description: partial 16S ribosomal RNA
Rfam family: Bacterial small subunit ribosomal RNA
Source: RNAcentral